This 260-nucleotide long non-coding RNA is filed under the name Carica papaya (papaya). Its description in RNAcentral is "long non-coding RNA (CPAP_LNC009266)". Lineage: Eukaryota; Viridiplantae; Streptophyta; Magnoliopsida; Brassicales; Caricaceae. The record is from RNAcentral.
UACUUUUGUGGGUUAACGCUAUAAAGGACAAAGCAGGACAAAUGUCAAGAAAACAAAAAUUGACUCCUCGGGUGAUUCAAGGUAGAAGAGAAAGGUGAAUAAAGAAAAACAUCAAGGUGGAUCUAAUGAAGAAGCUUCCUCAUCAUCUGGUUCAAUCCAUCUUGGGAUGUUUACCGGUAAAUGUUAUCGCUAAACCUGCCAAUGUGUGUAAGAAAUUAUAUGAAUCCUUGAAGACAUCUUUCAGCUUUAAUAUGGACGAG